Molecule: ribosomal RNA, 381 nt
Filed under: uncultured eukaryote
Lineage: Eukaryota
Description: partial 18S ribosomal RNA
Rfam family: Eukaryotic small subunit ribosomal RNA
Source: RNAcentral
CAAUAGCGUAUAUUAAAGUUGUUGCGGUUAAAAAGCUCGUAGUUGGAUUUCUGCUGAGAACGACCGGUCCGCCCUUUGGGUGUGUAUCUGGCUCUUUCUUGGCAUCUUCUUGGUGAACGUUGCUGCACUUGACUGUGUGGAGCGCUACCCAGGACUUUUACUUUGAGGAAAUUAGAGUGUUUCAAGCAGGCAUACGCCUUGAAUACAUUAGCAUGGAAUAAUAAGAUAGGACCUCGGUUCUAUUUUGUUGGUUUCUAGAGCUGAGGUAAUUGAUUAAUAGGGAUAGUUGGGGGCAUUCGUAUUUAACUGUCAGAGGUAAAAUUCUUGGAUUUGUUAAAGACGGACUACUGCGAAAGCAUUUGCCAAGGAUGUUUUCAUUGA